Molecule: non-coding RNA, 656 nt
Organism: Schizosaccharomyces pombe (fission yeast)
Lineage: Eukaryota; Fungi; Ascomycota; Schizosaccharomycetes; Schizosaccharomycetales; Schizosaccharomycetaceae
Source: the annotation of a GenBank genome assembly
AACGUCAAAAAAUAUUAACCGCCCAAUGUUAACUAUUAGCAAAAGCACAGGAUCCUAGGUCAAUUAUUUUAGCUUUCCCGUUGGGACUCACAUCAAACUCAAAUAUAUCCAUUGGAACACCAAUAGUAGUACAGGAAUUUGGUAUAUCAACAAUCCCGGCAACAUGACCUUGAAUAGGUGCACAACUGAGUAAAAGAUACAACUGAUAGUCAUUAUAUCCAAACCUUCUAAAAUAUUCAAUAACACGUAAACAGGUUUGACGAUAGGCUGUCGUAGUACAAAGAUAAUGCUGUUUUCCUGAUUCAUCAACGGAGAAACCCUCAAAAGUCAAAUAUCUACUGGGGCUAAAGUGUGGUUCAACGGGUCCUGGCAAAUACAUAGGGGACUUCAUAGCUAAGUCAGAUAUACCGUUUUUUAAAAUUUUACACUUGAUAGUAAUGGAACCUGCCAUUUCUAUAGCUCCACAAAAAGAAAUUUCGCCAUCACCUUGAGAAAAAUGAAGAUCGCCAAUGGACAACUUAGCACCAGGAACGUGGACCGGAAGAAAAACUUUCGACCCUCUUGAUAAAUUUUUAAUAUCGCAAUUUCCUCCAUUUUCGGGUCUCCCCGGUAUUGUCCUUGCUCCUUCGGAUGCUACCGUUGCACUAAGUUUCUCA